Transfer RNA from Moniliophthora roreri MCA 2997, 93 nucleotides. It matches the Rfam family "tRNA". Rfam says of the family: Transfer RNA (tRNA) molecules are approximately 80 nucleotides in length. Their secondary structure includes four short double-helical elements and three loops (D, anti-codon, and T loops). The record is from Rfam. Lineage: Eukaryota; Fungi; Basidiomycota; Agaricomycetes; Agaricales; Marasmiaceae.
GCCCGCCUAGCUCAAUCGGAUAGAGCGUCAGACUCUUAAGCUGAUUACGAGGCGGGAAUCUGAAGGCUGCGAGUUCGACCCUCGCGGUGGGCU